AGCGAACGCUGGCGGCAGGCUUAACACAUGCAAGUCGAACGGGCUUCUUCGGAAGUCAGUGGCAGACGGGUGAGUAACACGUGGGAACGUGCCCUUCGGUUCGGAAUAACUCAGGGAAACUUGAGCUAAUACCGGAUACGCCCUUUUGGGGAAAGGUUUACUGCCGAAGGAUCGGCCCGCGUCUGAUUAGCUUGUUGGUGGGGUAACGGCCUACCAAGGCGACGAUCAGUAGCUGGUCUGAGAGGAUGAUCUGCCACACUGGGACUGAGACACGGCCCAGACUCCUACGGGGGGCAGCAGUGGGGAAUAUUGGACAAUGGGCGCAAGCCUGAUCCAGCCAUGCCGCGUGAGUGAUGAAGGCCUUAGGGUUGUAAAGCUCUUUUGUCCGGGACGAUAAUGACGGUACCGGAAGAAUAAGCCCCGGCUAACUUCGUG
Molecule: ribosomal RNA, 435 nt
Filed under: uncultured bacterium
Lineage: Bacteria
Description: partial 16S ribosomal RNA
Rfam family: Bacterial small subunit ribosomal RNA
Source: RNAcentral